Molecule: long non-coding RNA, 1738 nt
Organism: Gorilla gorilla gorilla (western lowland gorilla)
Lineage: Eukaryota; Metazoa; Chordata; Mammalia; Primates; Hominidae
Exons: 3
Source: RefSeq, a predicted model, not a curated record
AAUAGAAUACCCUCUACUCUCCACCUCCCAGCCCAAGCCCUCUGUGGCCUCUCUAGCCAGUACUGUCAGCGACUGCCCUUGUCCCUCCACUGAGCACACAGGACCUCCUAGAUCCUGCUGUACUACCUUGAAGCCAGAGAGACAACUGGGAAGCUACCCUUAUACUUACUCUCUGCUAACUCGUGUUUCCCUUCACCUCUACUCUGGGCUGCUCUAGUUAGGGAGGACCCUGAAAAACAGACUCAAAUAGGAAGGAGAGAAAGACUCUUUAGAUGCCCGCCUGAUCCAGCACUUCAGAGAAAUCUCCCUUCCAGUCUACUCCUGAAAUCAGCCAUAAGAAGGGGAAGUGAUGCUUGGAAUGUAUUCAGAAUUCAAUUGGUUUGGGAGCUGUAAUGAAUCGCUGUGGAAUGAGCAACCUGAGAAAUAGAAGAUUUGGGGCUGACUAGGAUUUGAUGUAGAACUCCUGCAUCUUAUUUAAUCAUCUACUCAAAUCUCGAAGAGGCUACUAAAGGUAGAGAAUAAAUAAAUGAAUAGAGAUAAAAAUAAUUGAACCCAACUUAAGUCUAAGAUAACUUAUAUGCUCCUCUUUUAACUUGCAUAUAUUUUCUCAUCUCCUGAAUUUCCUCUUUAACAUCCUAAGAUGAAGAAGUUGCCCAGUAAAUAAAGCACCAGGAUGGAGCUUAUAGGUCGCCCAAGUCCAUGGUCACGCUAGUUGAAUGUUUCUUUGGGAUGACUGUUGGAUGCCUUUUAUUACUUUGAUUUCCUUACCUGUAUGAUUUUAUAGAGGACCAGUAUCAUAGGGGAAAUGUGAAGAGCAAACAACCAAUGAGAGAAAGCCAUAUUGGAAAGCACUUGUUUUAAAGAAAAAAGUUAUGAAUCCAUAUGCAGAACAGAGCAGUACAGAAUGAAAACUAUUGCAGGUUUUGAUAGGUAUGUUAGAAAAGAGUCACUGAACAAUUUCCUGUUAAUUCUGGGGCACUUAUACUAUUUUUAAAAUAUCCCACAAACCUUUGCCUGACAAAAGAAGAGUAGGAAAUAAAGCCUUAGUCUCUGCAAUGACAGCUGUUCCCAUAGCAACGUGUCUGUCAGUCAACACCCACUUCAUCCAGCUUCAGAAAACACCCCCAGAAAUAAAUGUCAAAAGUCUUAUGCAGGUUCCAAAUUUAAAUCAAACUUUAAAAUAAAUUAAAAUAAGAACCCAAACACCCACAACAGUCACAAAAGUAAAUUUUGGAAGGAGGGAAAGGGGGUAAAAAACAAAGGUCAAAGGAAUCCUCCAAGCAGAUGCAGGAAGUCAAGGGUGGAUAGGCACCCUUCACUCCUUUUGGAGCAUCGCUCUGAUAAAGCAUUAUUUACCUAGGUGGGCACUAAAUGCAAUCCGUUCAUAUCUUGUUCCUCUUGCUUUAAUAGUUGGCUUUCAUUUUCAUGAUCAUCAAAUCAUAUUUACCCUCUUCAUUCACUCUGGUGUGCUAAUGUUUCAGCCCCUCAUUUUAAUGGUAGGAGGUAACAAGAUUCUAAUUACCAGUCAGGUGGAGCACUGUGCUUGGCCACUCUUUCAGGGGGGAUGACAUUUAGCUAAUAGUGACUGGCCCUCCUAGCAAUUAAAAUGAUCUCACAUGCCAUCCUUAGGUCCUGUGUUGCUAAUGUAUGCUUCAAAAAGUAAGCACUAAACAAUCUUUUAUCCAGAGAUGAAAUACAUUUAAAGCCUAAUGUCACACUUCAGGGGUAAGUGAUAGGU